AAUUUUCUUCCCGCAUGUUUUGCAAGUUGAAAUCCGUUUUUUGUUGAUACAGUGUAGUCUUUAUAUCCGAUUUUUUUCUUUCUUAACACUUUUUUAAUAGCGUCAUUUUUAGUAUCUGGGCUUGGGGACGGUAUCAAGUCAGGUCGAGUUAAAAGGCUAAAAUCCAAGUUAAGUGACGAGUCAUUGGUGUUAAAGUCGAGUCCACGCCUCUGUUUUUGUUGUUGAUUGAAACACUGGCUCUUCGUUUGCACUUUUGACCCCACAGCUUGUGGGCGGGCUUUAGUGGGAGGUGUGGAGGAUGCUUCUCCGUUGGUCAGUCAUUUUUUGAGUGUCAGUUUGGCUACAACCAAUAGUGUUCAGCCUUUCUUUCCGACACAAAGGAAGUCAUAGACACUUAAAGUACAAAGAAGGACUGUGUGAUGAUGGCGUCUCAGAGUGGCAGGUGAAAUAUUUGCAGUGAGCCUUGCACGAGGUGGACCGUCUCCACGAUUUAUGCUGGAGUGAUGUUACCACUAUCUGGUGACCGGGACCCUGAAGGACCUAACAAAGGAUCAAAGAUCCCUUUGACCUGUGACCCUACACUGAAGGAAUCCUCAACUGUCACCCUACACUGAAGGAAUCCUCAACUGUCACCCUACGCUGAAGGAAUCCUCAACUGUCACCCUACACUGAAGGAAUCCUCAACUGUCACCCUACGCUGAAGGAAUCCUCAACUGUCACCCUACACUGAAGGAAUCCUCAACUGUCACCCUACACUGAAGGAAUCCUCAACUGUCACCCUACACUGAAGGAAUCCUCAACUGUCACCCUACGCUGAAGGAAUCCUCAACUGUCACCCUACACUGAAGGAAUCGUCAACUGUCACCCUACGCUGAAGGAAUCCUCAACUGUCACCCUACGCUGAAGGAAUCCUCAACUGUCACCCUACGCUGAAGGAAUCCUCAACUGUCACCCUACACUGAAGGAAUCCUCAACUGUCACCCUACACUGAAGGAAUCGUCAACUGUCACCCUACACUGAAGGAAUCGUCAACUGUCACCCUACACUGAAGGAAUCGUCAACUGUCACCCUACACUGAAGGAAUCCUCAACUGUCACCCUACACUGAAGGAAUCCUCAACUGUCACCCUACACUGAAGGAAUGCUCAACUGUCACCCUACACUGAAGGAAUGCUCAACUGUCACCCUACACUGAAGGAAUGCUCAACUGUCACCCUACACUGAAGGAAUCCUCAACUGUCACCCUACGCUGAAGGAAUCCUCAACUGUCACCCUACGCUGAAGGAAUCCUCAACUGUCUCCCUACGCUGAAGGAAUCCUCAACUGUCACCCUACGCUGAAGGAAUCCUCAACUGUCACCCUACGCUGAAGGAAUCCUCAACUGUCACCCUACGCUGAAGGAAUCCUCAACUGUCACCCUACACUGAAGGAAUCCUCAACUGUCACCCUACAUUGAAGGAAUCCUCAACUGUCACCCUACGCUGAAGGAAUCCUCAACUGUCACCCUACGCUGAAGGAAUCCUCAACUGUCACCCUACACUGAAGGAAUCGUCAACUGUCACCCUACACUGAAGGAAUCGUCAACUGUCACCCUACACUGAAGGAAUCGUCAACUGUCACCCUACACUGAAGGAAUCGUCAACUGUCACCCUACACUGAAGGAAUCGUCAACUGUCACCCUACACUGAAGGAAUCGUCAACUGUCACCCUACACUGAAGGAAUCGUCAACUGUCACCCUACACUGAAGGACUCCUCAACUGUGGCUACACAGGCCCCAUCAACUUGGAUCACAAGGAGAGCAUAAUAAGAGCUAUUUUGCUGCAUUUAACCACAAAACGUACAGCGAUGCUUCAGCAGCUGCAUGAAGGCCUUGAAGUCUACAUCUUAAUUGAGGUCAUGCAGAAGAAACCGAAGGAAUGUCUCAAUCUCUUUGUGAUUGGCGAUGAUGACAUGGUUGAUGCACACUACAUAAUCUCAAACCUGGCCCCAGAGAUGAGUGAAUGUGGUUUUCCAAAACAAAAGUAGACAGAAAUCUUGGAUUUCUUUCAAGAUUUCCUCCAAGAACUUGAUGAUGGGAAAGUGAGCCUCUUUGUGGCUGAAGACAGUGGAGAGAAAGAAGACAGUGGAGAGAAAGAAGACAAUGGAGAACCACUUGCUGUUCCCAGUGUAAUGCAGUGGCUGACAGGGCAGGCACACACACAUGCUUGUCUCAGAGAGAGAAAAGUUAAGGAUAGUGGUCAUUUUGGACCACUCAUGUCUACAAUGCAUGUCUAACCACACUUUGUUACCCUGUUGUUAGUACAUACACCAAAACGUAACAUUUCCGACAGCCCUCAGAGAUUACGAUGCAUUUAAAUCAAACACUGAAACAACAAUCAAAUACGUUGCACGGUUUGAUAGAGUGUAGCUGAAAGACUCCUCAAUUUAACUGACUGAUAAUCCACAUACAGUACAUUAUGUUCCUGUGUAAAGAAGUCAAAUCUUUCUUGCUUUAUUUUGGGGUUAAUGCUUAAAUGUACACCCUUGACAACUGCGAUUUAGAAAAUGUUUUUUAUUAACCUCUUACUACUCAGAGCAUUCAUAGAAGGAUGGUAGACUGCAGCAAUAGCUCAGAGGUCUAAACACUGGAUGGAUGAAUGAAUGGACUAUUGGAAAUAGUCAGGGGGACUGAUAUAGUAUUUGGGCUUUUGUAAAGUUUUUGCAUUAUGUUUUAUACACUGGUCUUAGGCUAUACCUUCAAACACCAAAACCUUAGGUGGCUCCAUUGCUAGUAAAGAGUGUUACAAAAAACACAUUUUGUUGAUACAGUGUAUCAUCCUAGUCCAUGGGAAUUAUGUAAAUGAAAUGACAUACAAUUCACUAAUUUUCUGGUCCUUGCCAACAUACAGUGUUCCAGAUGUACUGCAACUACUUUAGUAUAUCAUCGGUUCUCUCCCCUUUAAUAUGUGAUUCUUUCUGUUUUUAUUCUUUAUUUUGUUUAACAAGUGCCUGAAGCUGUUCUAUAUACAGUAGACCUAUGGGGGCCAAAGACUCCAUUUUAGUAUAGUGUACACCAAGUGGUAUAGAAUACAAGUAUAUAAACUUUAUCCAAAUGCAAUGUAAUAGACCAAUUUAUCUCCGGGCUUGACGUCUAUCUUAUUGAGAGAUUCUUUAAGCUAGCAUUAUACACAAGUAAAGGUGCUCGGUCUGUCUUUAUGUUAUUAAUUUGUAGUACUGUAUCCUGUAACCACCAGAGUCACUGCUUAUUCAGUGGUCUCCAACUUGACCUCUGGAGCUCAGAAAUGAUGAAGAUAACACUGAGACAGUGCCACUCUGUUAGACAGGAAUUUGGUGCUGAAGUACAAUAAUACUUUACAAGUCCUUUUGAUUACCCAAGGUUCAUUUGUAUGCAGCAAGGGAUGGAAGGUUUUAUUAAAAUGUACAUUUAAGGGAUUUUUCAGUUGCUCAUUUUUAUAUUUUGACAUGACAAAGUUGUGUAUUUGUGGAUCUACUGUAUUGGUGUUUACAAAAUGUACUAACCAUCGUUCACUGAGCUCUGUCACUAGCAUUGUUAUGUUAUUGCCUGCUUUUGAUUUUCAUGUUAAGACACUGGAUGUCAUGUACUCUAACUGUAAAGGUGACAGCUCGAUAAAUUAUAUGGGGAGAGAAAGUCACCUCAGGAGCCUUUAUGACACUUAUGGAUUCUUGCACUCUUCUGUAACUGGAUAGUGUUUUAUAGAUCACUGCAUUAUUAGAACGUACUAUAGAUUCACCUCUGAACUUGGAACCCGUUUGCUGUAUGUCCAAUGGUAGUGCCGUGAACAUGUUACAAUUAUUAACGUGAUUAUUUUGACACUGUUAUACUACAUAAUGUUGAUACAUGGUAUUUAUCAGUUUUAUAUGUUCAAAUGUUGGGUUUGUUUUUAGAGAGAAGUGUCAAUUAACAAAGAUGCUUUGUGGAAAAUAAAUACCAUUGGUUU
Salvelinus namaycush (lake trout) is the source of this 3959-nucleotide long non-coding RNA. RefSeq lists it as uncharacterized. The transcript has 6 exons. NCBI's taxonomy places the organism in Eukaryota, Metazoa, Chordata, Actinopteri, Salmoniformes, Salmonidae. The record is from RefSeq and is a predicted model, not a curated record.